GGGCCGUUAGCUCAGUUGGUAGAGCAUCUCACUUUUAAUGAGAGGGUCGAUGGUUCGAGUCCAUCACGGCUCA
This 73-nucleotide transfer RNA is filed under the name Deltaproteobacteria bacterium GWA2_38_16. RNAcentral's name for it is "tRNA-Lys". It matches the Rfam family "tRNA". Rfam says of the family: Transfer RNA (tRNA) molecules are approximately 80 nucleotides in length. Their secondary structure includes four short double-helical elements and three loops (D, anti-codon, and T loops). Lineage: Bacteria; Deltaproteobacteria. The record is from RNAcentral. RNAcentral also lists the same sequence under 3 other names.